This 435-nucleotide ribosomal RNA is filed under the name uncultured bacterium. RNAcentral's name for it is "partial 16S ribosomal RNA". It matches the Rfam family "Bacterial small subunit ribosomal RNA", at positions 29 to 507 of the family's 1533-position model. The record is from RNAcentral.
AACGAACGCUGGCGGCAGGCUUAACACAUGCAAGUCGAACGCAUGCCUUCGGGCAUGAGUGGCAGACGGGUGAGUAACGCGUGGGAACCUACCCCUUGGUACGGGAUAGCUCCGGGAAACUGGAGAUAAUACCGUAUGUGUCCUGAGGGACAAAGUUUCAUCGCCAAGGGAUGGGCCCGCGUCGGAUUAGCUAGUUGGUGGGGUAACGGCCUACCAAGGCGACGAUCCGUAGCUGGUCUAAGAGGAUGAUCAGCCACAUUGGGACUGAGACACGGCCCAAACUCCUACGGGAGGCAGCAGUGGGGAAUAUUGGACAAUGGGCGCAAGCCUGAUCCAGCCAUGCCGCGUGAGUGAUGAAGGCCCUAGGGUUGUAAAGCUCUUUCACCGGUGACGAUAAUGACGGUAACCGGAGAAGAAGCCCCGGCUAACUUCGUG